AGCGAACGCUGGCGGUAGGCCUAACACAUGCAAGUCGAACGGAUCCUUCGGGAUUAGUGGCGGACGGGUGAGUAACACGUGGGAACGUGCCCUUUGGUUCGGAACAACUCAGGGAAACUUGAGCUAAUACCGGAUGUGCCCUUCGGGGGACAGAUUUAUCGCCAUUGGAGCGGCCCGCGUCUGAUUAUCUAGUUGGUGAGGUAAAGGCUCACCAAGGCGAAGAUCAGUAGCUGGUCUGAGAGGAUGAUCAGCCACAUUGGGACUGAGACACGGCCCAAACUCCUACGGGAGGCAGCAGUGGGGAAUCUUGCGCAAUGGGCGAAAGCCUGACGCAGCCAUGCCGCGUGAAUGAUGAAGGUCUUAGGAUUGUAAAAUUCUUUCACCGGGGACGAUAAUGACGGUACCCGGAGAAGAAGCCCCGGCUAACUUCGUGCCAGCAGCCGCCGUAA
This 449-nucleotide ribosomal RNA is filed under the name uncultured bacterium. RNAcentral's name for it is "partial 16S ribosomal RNA". It matches the Rfam family "Bacterial small subunit ribosomal RNA", at positions 29 to 523 of the family's 1533-position model. The record is from RNAcentral.